CAGCCGCCGCGGUAAUACGUAGGGGCCUAGCGUUGUCCGGAAUUAUUGGGCGUAAAGAGCUCGUAGGCGGUUCGGCAAGUCGGAUGUGAAAUCUCCACGCUCAACGUGGAGGGGCCAUUCGAAACUGCCGUGACUCGAGUCCGGUAGGGGAGUGUGGAAUUCCCGGUGUAGCGGUGAAAUACGCAGAUAUCGGGAGGAACACCAGUAGCGAAGGCGGCGCUCUGGGCCGGUACUGACGCUGAGGAGCGAAAGCGUGGGGAGCAAACAGGAUUAGAUACCCUGGAAGUCCACGCCGUAAACGUUGGGCACUAGGUGUGGGGCUCUAUCGACGGGCUCCGUGCCGUAGCUAACGCAUUAAGUGCCCCGCCUGGGGAGUACGGCCGCAAGGCUAAAACUCAAAUGAAUUGACGG
Molecule: ribosomal RNA, 411 nt
Filed under: uncultured soil bacterium
Lineage: Bacteria
Description: bacterial SSU rRNA
Rfam family: Bacterial small subunit ribosomal RNA
Source: RNAcentral